RNAcentral lists this long non-coding RNA (1479 nucleotides) under Penaeus japonicus. RNAcentral describes it as "uncharacterized LOC122268127". The record is from RNAcentral. Lineage: Eukaryota; Metazoa; Arthropoda; Malacostraca; Decapoda; Penaeidae.
UGAAAAUGUCAGCGAAGUGACAAGAACAUGACAUAAAGGAGAAAGAAGACUAGAAAGGGACAUGAACAUAAUAAUCAAGAAGUCGGAAGAGUCGAUGAAGAUUCGAAUAAAAAGGCGAAGCAGGGAAUAAGUGAUCGAACGUAGUGCCGCUCGUGUCGUGAGAGAAAGAACGUUGUGUUGGUUGCGACUUCUAUUGCAGUUUUAUCAGUGGUAACUUCUGUUUGUUGAUAUGGGAAAUAUUAAGUGAGCAUAAAAAGCCUUGUUGUGCUUCAUUUUUGUGUUACUUUCUUCUCUUUUUAUCAGGAAAAAGGUCGGUUUGACAUAAAAAAAAACAACUAAAGUGAGCUAAAAGAAAGAAAGGAAAAAAAACAGAUCAAAUUAGAACAGAAAACAACGAAGAGAACAGUAAAAAUAAUGAAUGCGUCAUAGAAACUGUUAUUUAAACCCUAUGCAUGUGCGCAGCCCCGACAGAGAAGGCAUAACUUGAUCCAUAUUCCAUAUCGACACACUAAAGAGCGAGCGAGAGCGUGUGAAUGCAAGACACCGUCAGAACAGGUGUAUGGGAUCACCUAUGAAUCAAAGGGUUUGCUUCCGAUCCUGAAAAUAAUCAGCACAACUAGCCAAACUCGUCUGGAAUUUGCUACUGGUGUGUCAUGAGGAUUGACGAGGAGACGGGACUAAACGCUGAAGAUCCGAGACUAGGAAAUUUGUGGUCUGGAAGGGUCCCUUUGCCGCACGCCUUCCUGAGAGUGGUCCCACGAGCGAAAAGGAAUACCUGAGGAGUGGUGAAAAGCUCAAACCAGUUAUAUUUUUUUUCUCUCUUCUUCAUUUUUCUAUUUGAUUUCCUCCGCAACCUUUGAAGUUUUCUCAGAAGAAACAAAUCUAAAUACACUGAAAAUGCCGCCGAUAAGAAAUUCACCGUUUAUCGAAGGGUCGUAGAUUAACGCUAUAAAAAAAGUGUAGAAAGAGAAAGAGAAGGAGAAUAGGAGAACAAGGAGUGAGAGAAAGAGAAAGAGAGAGAGUGAGAGAGAGAAAGAGAAAAGGAAAAAAAAGAGAAAGGAAAGAGAAACAGAGAAACAUCAAGUCAAAACCUUUCAUGUUCGUGUCCCCCUGAGAAUGAACAUCUGACGACACGACCUCGUCCGUUAUGUCUCAUGAUGGCUCUGUAAUGACGACUUCGGAUCCUGAAGUAUAGAUUACAGACCGCGAAGAUGACGACCACGCCUGACGUAAUCGUCUUGUUCGUCCUUUUUCUUCUGUUCUUGGCCAGCAGGAAGUGCUCGGGUUCCGAUGAAGCGGUUGGACUCGGCUGGAACUGGGAAAUGUGGUGGACAUACGACGGUAUCUCAGGUCCGGAGUUCUGGGGCGUGAUUAACCCAGCGUGGGCGAUGUGUUCGGAAGGGCGCCGUCAGUCCCCCAUCAACCUGGACCCCCGCACGCUCCUGCAUGACCCCAACCUGACCCCAAUCACUCUCGAUA